CGCUAGCGGCAGGCUUAAUACAUGCAAGUCGUGGGGCAGCAUGAGUAGCAAUACUUGAUGGCGAACCGGCAAACGGGUGAGGAACACGUACACAACCUUCCUUCAAGCGGGGAAUAGCCCAGAGAAAUUUGGAUUAAUACCCCAUAAUAUAUUUGAUAAGGCAUCUUAUUAAUAUUAAAGCUUCGGCACUUGAUGAUGGGUGUGCGGCUGAUUAGAUAGUUGGCGGGGUAACGGCCCACCAAGUCUACGAUCAGUAGCUGAUGUGAGAGCAUGAUCAGCCACACGGGCACUGAGACACGGGCCCGACUCCUACGGGAGGCAGCAGUAAGGAAUAUUGGACAAUGGACGAAAGUCUGAUCCAGCUAUGCCGCGUGAAGGAUUAAGGUCCUCUGGAUUGUAAACUUCUUUUAUAUGGGACGAAGAAAGGGCAUUCUUGUUCACUUGACGGUACCAUAUGAAUAAGCACCGGCUAACUCCGUG
RNAcentral lists this ribosomal RNA (480 nucleotides) under uncultured bacterium. RNAcentral's name for it is "bacterial SSU rRNA". It matches the Rfam family "Bacterial small subunit ribosomal RNA", at positions 34 to 507 of the family's 1533-position model. The record is from RNAcentral.